Molecule: ribosomal RNA, 502 nt
Filed under: uncultured bacterium
Lineage: Bacteria
Description: partial 16S ribosomal RNA
Rfam family: Bacterial small subunit ribosomal RNA
Source: RNAcentral
AUUGAACGCUGGCGGCAGGCUUAACACAUGCAAGUCGAGCGGAGUGAUGGUGCUUGCACUAUCACUUAGCGGCGGACGGGUGAGUAAUGCUUAGGAAUCUGCCUAUUAGUGGGGGACAACAUCUCGAAAGGGAUGCUAAUACCGCAUACGUCCUACGGGAGAAAGCAGGGGAUCACUUGUGACCUUGCGCUAAUAGAUGAGCCUAAGUCGGAUUAGCUAGUUGGUGGGGUAAAGGCCUACCAAGGCGACGAUCUGUAGCGGGUCUGAGAGGAUGAGCCGCCACACUGGGACGGAGGCACGGGCCAGAAUCCUACGGGAGGGAGCAGUGGGGAAAAUUGGACAAUGGGGGAACCCUGAUCCAGCCUGGCCGCGUGUGUGAAGAAGGCCUUAUGGUUGUAAAGCACUUUAAGCGAGGAGGAGGCUCUUUUGGUUAAUACCCAAGAUGAGUGGACGUUACUCGCAGAAUAAGCACCGGCUAACUCUGUGCCAGCCGCCGCGGUAA